CGAUUUUGAAUUCUAUGGGACGUUUGUUUGCUGCUGCUUCUUUUAUAUUGGAUUUCUGCUGCUUCUUUUUGUUCGGAUUGGGUCUGCUGUUCGGUUUCGGAUUCUGUAGGGCGGAGAUUGUUCGGUUUCGGAUUCUGUGGGACGUUUGUUUGUUGCUGCUUCUUUUAUAUUAGAUUGGGUAUGCUGCUUCUUUCUGUUUUUAUAUUGGAUUCGACUUAUCUCGGGUUGAAUGGAUUGGGUCUGAUUGGAUUUCAUAUUAGAUUGGGUCUAUUUUUAUAUUAGAUUGUUCGGUUUCAAAUUGGGUCUGUUUUAAGCCAAGUACCUAAUUGAUGCACUUAGAUUGGCGAACUCGAAAUGGGCUGAAAUUUGGUCGGCUGUGUGGAAACGGGCCGCUGAUCAAUACACAUAGCUACGCUAUGAAGGACGUCGUUUUUUUGCAUUUCGGAGUCAUUUAGACAGGUUUUCGAGCAGAAACACAUUGUGUUUCAUAGAUUUUUAGUCCGGUUUAAAUAUUGUGUGAAAUAUACAUGAUACACAUUGUGUUUCACAUGGAACUGCUUUCUAAUAUUCAUUAACAGAUUUUGGAACAGAGGGUUCUAGUUCUUGAUUGCCAAAUAUGCUCCCCUUUUAUUUAUAUCUAGGUUUGAAAAUAUCCUAGUUUGAUCAUGUCAUGUAAUAUGCUCCCCAUAAUUCAUUCUCCUAUUUUCUUCUUAGAUAAUAAUCACCAGAAAGUGCUUCACUUCACUAGCUUUUUGAAUUUUUGUAGACAGAAGUAACAACUGUUAUUUGUGGCAAAAAAGAGCUAAAGAAGCUCGUAGACAUUUCCGGACAGCUUGCUAUUUAUCAGAGGCAAUAGCAAGUUUGUUUCGUUUUCUCAAGUUUAUCUCUUGCACUUUGAAACAAAAUGGUAAGCUUCAUGAUGUACGUCAUUAUGUGUCCCUAAUACAUGUUCAUGUUUUUAAAGAUAUUUGUCUAACCUUCCUACUUGUCAGUAUAAACAUGAAGGUCACAUGCAUGGUAUAGUUUCACAAAGAAGAGCAGCCCCUUCCCCUUCCUCGUCCCCGUCCCUUUCCUAUUCCCUUGCCCUUUCAUGUUUCCCUCAACCACUACAUGCUGAUGAACAACAUGGACACAUUGACCCUUCCUCCGACCCUCAAGAACAUAUUAGGGGACAAUUUGGAUACAUGCGAACUGAAUCUACUUUAGGUCCAUGUCCUUUAGUUCCAUCUCCUUCGGUUCCACCUUCUUCUUCGGUGCAACGCUCGAAUGAUGAGGGAAACAUAGAUGAAGAAGAUAACCGAUUCAUGAUAUGCCCAUAUGGAGAUUCGUAAGUACUUUAUUUUUUUAAGUAUAUAUAAUAUUUAGGGUUUUAGAUAUGGAUGUCAACUGAAUUAUCCAUGUUGCAAAUUAUCCGUAUGCUUCAUUGUUUCAUUGUCCAUAUCGUUCUUUCUAACCUGUUUGCAGAUUCACGGAUGCUGCGUAUGUUGUGAGGCAACUUAAUAAAAUAGUCAAUAACUCUUGGAAGGGGUAGUAUAUUAGUUAUAGCAACGCUCCAAAAAAAGUAAAGGAUUUGUGGUGGAAUGAGUUUAAGCGGAAGUUCAGGUGGGAUGAAACGAAAGAUGAUGAAGUUAAAAGAAUUUUUAAAAAGAAAGCCGGUGAUCACAUACGAAAUGUGAUGAAUAAAGCAAAGAUAAGUCAACUAAAGCCAGAUUUUAUUACAGGUAACAAUUGGACGGAAAUCAAGAGAACUUGGAAAACUAAAAAGAAUAAGCAAAUGAGUGACUAGAAUAAGAAGAAUCGAGCUUCUAGUUCUAGUGAAGGGUCUGCCACAUAUGCUGGGGGCUCUAUCAACAUUGGGGAGCAUAGAAAAAAAAUGCCAGAUGAAUUGGGGACAGAACCAACAUAUAUAGCUACAUUUGAACGCACAUUUCAAAAAAAAGAUAAGACACAGACUGGCGAUCAAGCAAAAGCUAUUAAGGUAUGUAAGGUUAUACUUGAAGGUAUGUAAGUUUAUGGAAACUAGAAUGAAAAUCAUGAAUGCUUUUAAUAUUUAUGGUAGUUAUAUAUAUGAAGUUAUUUUAUUUUCAUCUAUAUUGUUAAUGCAGAAAAAAUAUGAUGAACCUUUAAUGAGUAUUGCUAGUGGUAGUGGUGGUGAUGGUGUUGCUGCGUUUGAGCUAUCAGUUGACAGUAUGGCAUUAUGGGUAGAGGCAUCGGGUGGGAUGAAAAGAGGAAAAAUAUUUGGGAUGGGAUCCUUGUUAAGGGUAUACACAAUGCAAGCUGCUGCAACUUCAUCCUCCAAUGCGGCUGUUGCAAGGAGGACACGACUUGAGGAGCAAAUGACCCAAUAAUUGAGCCAACUGAAACAUUUACUUGUAGAGAAGGACGAAGAAAUAAGAGUGGUCAAACAACAAAUGCAAUUGAUCUUGCGACACCUUAACCUCGAUCACGAUGAGGUUCCUUCUGUAUCUCCGACUAAUUCAAUAGGUGAUGGGCACAAUGAUGAGCGACAUGAUGAUGAUGACAUUGUUGAUGAUGAUGAUGAUUUUGUCAGUUCUUGCUAAUUAAAAUUUCCAUUUUCAUAUCAUUAUAAUUUUUUUAGGCACUAAACUUUGA
Long non-coding RNA from Syzygium oleosum, 2613 nucleotides. RefSeq lists it as uncharacterized. Lineage: Eukaryota; Viridiplantae; Streptophyta; Magnoliopsida; Myrtales; Myrtaceae. The record is from RefSeq and is a predicted model, not a curated record. The transcript has 3 exons.